GAUGAACGCUGGCGGCGUGCCUAAUACAUGCAGGUCGAGCGAACAGAUAAGGAGCUUGCUCCUUUGACGUUAGCGGCGGACGGGUGAGUAACACGUGGGUAACCUACCUAUAAGACUGGGAUAACUUCGGGAAACCGGAGCUAAUACCGGAUAACAUUUGGAACCGCAUGGUUCUAAAGUGAAAGAUGGUUUUGCUAUCACUUAUAGAUGGACCCGCGCCGUAUUAGCUAGUUGGUAAGGUAACGGCUUACCAAGGCAACGAUACGUAGCCGACCUGAGAGGGUGAUCGGCCACACUGGAACGGAGACGCGGUCCAGACUCCUACGGGAGGCAGCAGUAGGGAAUCUUCCGCAAUGGGCGAAAGCCUGACGGAGCAACGCCGCGUGAGUGAUGAAGGGUUUCGGCUCGUAAAACUCUGUUAUUAGGGAAGAACAAACGUGUAAGUAACUGUGCACGUCUUGACGGUACCUAAUCAGAAAGCCACGGCUAACUACGUG
RNAcentral lists this ribosomal RNA (497 nucleotides) under uncultured bacterium. RNAcentral's name for it is "partial 16S ribosomal RNA". It matches the Rfam family "Bacterial small subunit ribosomal RNA", at positions 28 to 507 of the family's 1533-position model. The record is from RNAcentral.